GGCAUUGCAUGCGGGAAGAAGCAGUACCGAAAGGAGCUGUGGACUGCAUGGAAGAGAGAAUGCCGGAAUGAGUAGCGAGAAUAAGGUGAGAAUCCUUAUGGCCGAAUAUCCAAGGUUUCCAGAGUAAAGCUGAUCUGCUCUGGGUAAGUCGGGGCCUAAGGCGAGGACGAGAGUCGUAGCCGAUGGACAACAGGUGGAGAUUCCUGUACUGCGGUAUGACAGAACUGUGGGGACACGUAAGGAAAGCGGAAGCCGGGAAUGGAAAGCCCGGUGCAAGCGGGGUACCAGUCACUCUGGCAAAUCCGGGUGGCAAUGGGAAGCCGUGAUGCGGAGUGAAAUAAAGUAACGAAGUCCGUGAGCCAUGCGUCAAGAAAAGCCGCUAUUGUUUAUACCGUACCCGUACCGUAAACCGACACAGGUGGAUGAGGAGAGAAUCCUAAGGCCGGCGGAAGAAGCAUUGUCAAGGAACUCGGCAAAAUGGCCCCGUAACUUAGGGAUAAGGGGUGCCUGGGAAACCAGGCCGCAGAGAAUAGGCUCAAGCAACUGUUUAGCAAAAACACAGGUCUAUGCGAAACCGAAAGGUGAGGUAUAUGGGCUGACGCCUGCCCGGUGCUGGAAGGUUAAGAGGAGAGGUUAGCGCAAGCGAAGCUUUGAAUUUAAGCCCCAGUAAACGGCGGCCGUAACGAUAACGGUCCUAAGGUAGCGAAAUUCCUUGUCGGGUAAGUUCCGACCCGCACGAAAGGCGUAAUGAUUUGAGCGCUGUCUCGACAAUGCAUCCGGUGAAAUUGAAGUACCAGUGAAGAUGCUGGUUACCUGCGCCAGGACGGAAAGACCCCAUGGAGCUUUACUCCAGUUUGGUACUGGGACUCGGUAUUGCAUGUACAGGAUAGGUGGGAGGCUGAGAGACAGUAACGCCAGUUAUUGUGGAGCCGCUGUUGGGAUACCACCCUUGCAGUAUUGGGUUUCUAACCAGCCGCCGUGACCCGGCGGUGGGACAAUGCCAGACGGGGAGUUUGACUGGGGCGGUCGCCUCCGAAAGGGUAUCGGAGGCGCCCAAAGGUUCCCUCAGAAUGGACGGAAACCAUUCGAAGAGUGCAAAGGCAGAAGGGAGCUUGACUGCGACACCGACGGGUGGAGCAGGUACGAAAGUAGGGCUUAGUGAUCCGGUGGUAUUAAGUGGGAAUGCCAUCGCUCAACGGAUAAAAGCUACCCUGGGAUAACAGGCUUAUCACUCCCAAGAGUUCACAUCGACGGAGUGGUUUGGCACCUCGAUGUCGGCUCAUCGCAUCCUGGGGCUGUAGUAGGUCCCAAGGGUUGGGCUGUUCGCCCAUUAAAGCGGUACGCGAGCUGGGUUCAGAACGUCGUGAGACAGUUCGGUCCCUAUCCGGCGUGGGCGUAGGAUAUCUGAGAGGAGCUGUCCUUAGUACGAGAGGACCGGGAUGGACGGGCCGCUGGUGCAUCGGUUAGACUGCCAAGUCUACGGCCGAGUAGCCAAGCCCGGAAGGGAUAAACGCUGAAGGCAUCUAAGCGUGAAGCCCCCCUUAAGAUGAGAUAUCCCAUUCGAAAGAAGUAAACCCCCUUGAAGAUGACGAGGUAGAUAGGGCAGAGGUGGAAGUGUGGCAACACAUGGAGCUGACUGUUACUAAUCGGGUGAGGGCUUGACC
RNAcentral lists this ribosomal RNA (1664 nucleotides) under metagenome. Its description in RNAcentral is "bacterial LSU rRNA". It matches the Rfam family "Bacterial large subunit ribosomal RNA", at positions 1235 to 2925 of the family's 2925-position model. The record is from RNAcentral.